This is a long non-coding RNA of Passer domesticus (house sparrow), 459 nucleotides long. RefSeq lists it as uncharacterized. The transcript has 3 exons. NCBI's taxonomy places the organism in Eukaryota, Metazoa, Chordata, Aves, Passeriformes, Passeridae. The record is from RefSeq and is a predicted model, not a curated record.
AUGGAAUCAUGGAGAGCACUGUGAUAUUUCGCUCGCCUCAUGGAACAGGGGGACCAUACUAAAGCUGUAUGGUUCCAUGGAAGGUUCUUGUACAGAAAGAGCAGGAGCAGACUGCUUAUCAAAGAUGCCAUGCCAGGCUCAGGGAGAGCUGUUCCCAGCCCGAGAGCAGGAAGAGCAGCUCAGGCAGCAGGUGGAAGAGCCACAGCAGAAUGGCCAGAACAUCAAGGCAGAGCCACAAGCAGAGCUGCCCGAAGCUCAGAGUGCCAUCAUGGCAGUGAAGAGAAAGAACAAGGAAGACAUGAGAAGAAUUCAAGAGGAGAUGAAUCUCCAUCAGCACAGGGGCGAUCAACAAAACCAGGUGAGAGAAAGAAUGGCAGCCACUCCACUCAUGAAACUUCCUCUCCAUUGUUGUUUACAAACCAUCAAGGAAGAUGUGCAGGCAGAGCUGCAGGAAUCUGA